RNAcentral lists this ribosomal RNA (253 nucleotides) under uncultured bacterium. Its description in RNAcentral is "partial 16S ribosomal RNA". It matches the Rfam family "Bacterial small subunit ribosomal RNA", at positions 524 to 776 of the family's 1533-position model. The record is from RNAcentral.
UACGUAGGGGGCAAGCGUUGUCCGGAUUUCUUGGGCGUAAAGAGCGUGUAGGCGGCCAGGUAGGUCUGCUGUGAAAACUCGAGGCUCAACCUCGAGAUGUCGGCGGAAACCAUCUGGCUAGAGUCCGGAAGAGGAGAAUGGAAUUCCCGGUGUAGCGGUGAAAUGCGCAGAUAUCGGGAAGAACACCCGUGGCGAAGGCGGUUCUCUGGGACGGUACUGACGCUGAGACGCGAAAGCGUGGGGAGCGAACAGG